Molecule: transfer RNA, 73 nt
Filed under: Lactobacillus johnsonii
Lineage: Bacteria; Bacillati; Bacillota; Bacilli; Lactobacillales; Lactobacillaceae
Description: tRNA-Arg
Rfam family: tRNA
About the family: Transfer RNA (tRNA) molecules are approximately 80 nucleotides in length. Their secondary structure includes four short double-helical elements and three loops (D, anti-codon, and T loops).
Source: RNAcentral
GGUUUGGUAGCUCAGCUGGAUAGAGCAACGGUCUUCUAAACCGUGGUCGUGAGUUCGAAUCUCACCCAAAUCA